GGAGCAGUGGUUGCGAGAGAGAAAUGUGGGGACUUUUGGUGCUCAAUAUUUCUCGUCGUUUAGGUACUACGGGGAAGAAAACCGUUUGCUCCGUUUGUCCCUAGCCAAGCUUGCAGCACAUAAUCGACAGGAUGCGUGGCCGGCAAGGCGAAAAAGCCGCGUCCGAGAACCUGCAACUUUCGACAAGCCAGCAUUAUUUUGCUUCUUUUUGUGAUAGUUCCUGGCUAUCUGUUGCUGAUGCCACACAUUCACUUUGCAAUGGUUUAUUAGACCUCAUACAUAAAUUAAUAGCUGUAUAAAACCUUGACCCUCCAGCACUUCCACAAAAUUCAUGCAGAAGUGGAAACAAAGAUUACACCUAAUUCCUCACCACACGUUACUAUGUCUGCAUCAAAGCUGGAUAUUACCAACAUGUGUGCAGUGUCGUUGCCCAUGCUUCCAGGACAGGAAAGCCAGUUGCUCCAGUUCACAAGGCUAGAACAACUGCGAAGUGAUUGAGCUAUCUGCUUGUGCUGCAUUUUGUUGCCACAAGCUGUACAAGGUCAUGGCUUGUGCUGUAGAAACCACAUCUUUUUGCCUGCUGAAUUCCUUUGUGAUGCAUUGAACGUGUCUGCUUCCGUUUCCCCUGCUAUUUUUACAGCGAAGCUGUAUAUGGCUAGGUUCUGACCAUGACCAAUAGUGCAUACAUCGACACGGUGUAUAGAAAAAAGUUGCGUUGGCAAAAUUGAAUCCACAGUAGCCUGCUGUGCGCCAGCAGUGCUCAGUGGCUCCGGAGUGGAUGGCAGAAUAAUAAAACGUCAUUGUGUACCCACCAA
This is a long non-coding RNA of Dermacentor andersoni, 815 nucleotides long. RefSeq lists it as uncharacterized. Lineage: Eukaryota; Metazoa; Arthropoda; Arachnida; Ixodida; Ixodidae. The record is from RefSeq and is a predicted model, not a curated record.